RNAcentral lists this long non-coding RNA (491 nucleotides) under Musa acuminata (dwarf banana). Its description in RNAcentral is "long non-coding RNA (MACU_LNC002064)". Lineage: Eukaryota; Viridiplantae; Streptophyta; Magnoliopsida; Zingiberales; Musaceae. The record is from RNAcentral.
UGAAGCAUAUUUUAAGAAUCAGCACUUUUUGUUAGACUUUGUCCACAUGGUAUACAUUGAUCUGAAAACAGGUUUACAGAAACCGAUCGCUUGGAUUGAUGCAGAUGGGAAAUGUUAUUUCCCAGAAGUAUGUCCUGAAAAUUAUGGAUUAAAUAGAUACCAUCAUUAUGGCAAGGGCAAACAAGUUCACAUGAUUUGUGAUCCAAAUGGGACACAUGAAAUUGAUGCCCGUUUGGAGAUUUCUGUUAGUGCAGCUGAAAGCUCAAGUUCAGGAUCUGAUGAUGAGGUUAUGUCCAAUGUCAAGAGGAUCAAGAGAGAAGAACAUACUUUAUGUGCUCAAGGCAAUGAGACUGUUGGAGAAAAUGAGCCAUGUCCAUUUCUCCCUUCAGAUAUUUCUGCUUUAGAAAGUUGGCAAGAAAAGAAGGUUAGACCUACUGGUGAUCCGCGAGUCAGUGCUGUGCUGGACUUGUUACUUAAGAGUUUGGGCCAAG